GAGGGAUAAGCACCGGAAACGGUGUCUAAUACCGCAUAUGCUCUUCGGAGUAAAGCUUUAUGCGCUUUGGGAGCGGCCUGCGUCCGAUUAGAUAGUUGGUGAGGUAAAGGCUCACCAAGUCGACGAUCGGUAACUGGUCUGAGAGGAUGAUCAGUCAGACUGGAACUGAGACACGGUCCAGACUCCUACGGGAGGCAGCAGUAAGGAAUCUUCCACAAUGGGCGAAAGCCUGAUGGAGCAACGCCGCGUGCAGGAUGAAGGCCUUCGGGUCGUAAACUGCUUUUAUAAGUGAAGAAUAUGACGGUAACUUAUGAAUAAGGAUCGGCUAACUACGUGCCAGCAGCCGCGGUCAUACGUAGGAUCCGAGCGUUAUCCGGAGUGACUGGGCGUAAAGAGUUGCGUAGGUGGUCAGUAAAGCGAAUGGUGAAAUCUGGGGGCUCAACCUCACAGACUAUUAUUCGAACUCACUGACUCGAGAACAGCAGAGGUAACUGGAAUUUCUGAAGUAGGGGUAAUAUCCGUAGAUAUCAGAAGGAACACCAAUGGCGUAGGCAGGUUACUGGGCUGUUUCUGACACUGAGGCACGAAAGCGUGGGGAGCGAACCGGAUUAGAUACCCGGGUAGUCCACGCCGUAAACGAUGGAUACUAGCUGUUGGAGGUAUCGACCCCUUCAGUAGCGAAGCUAACGCGUUAAGUAUCCCGCCUGUGGAGUACGGUCGCAAGACUAAAACAUAAAGGAAUUGACGGGGACCCGCACAAGCGGUGGAUCAUGUUCUUUAAUUCGAU
RNAcentral lists this ribosomal RNA (787 nucleotides) under uncultured bacterium. Its description in RNAcentral is "bacterial SSU rRNA". It matches the Rfam family "Bacterial small subunit ribosomal RNA", at positions 138 to 955 of the family's 1533-position model. The record is from RNAcentral.